AAGAGGUGUAUUAACAAUUAGAGCUGCUAACUCAAAUAGCUAA
This 43-nucleotide transfer RNA is filed under the name Podarcis vaucheri. Its description in RNAcentral is "partial tRNA-Ser". Lineage: Eukaryota; Metazoa; Chordata; Lepidosauria; Squamata; Lacertidae. The record is from RNAcentral.